GAGAAGCUUCGACUAAGGUUCGACUCGAGCGAAGCGAGAGAACGUUGCCGCAGGCAACGGCCCGAAGGGCGAAGCGCUUUAGCGCCGAGUAAUCCUUCCCCCACCACUG
Molecule: small RNA, 109 nt
Filed under: Klebsiella pneumoniae
Lineage: Bacteria; Pseudomonadati; Pseudomonadota; Gammaproteobacteria; Enterobacterales; Enterobacteriaceae
Description: partial RtT sRNA
Rfam family: RtT RNA
About the family: This family represents a bacterial cis-regulatory element known as RtT RNA. The exact function of RtT is unknown although it is thought that it may be involved in changing the cellular response in relation to amino acid starvation.
Source: RNAcentral